Molecule: ribosomal RNA, 941 nt
Filed under: Chaetomium interruptum
Lineage: Eukaryota; Fungi; Ascomycota; Sordariomycetes; Sordariales; Chaetomiaceae
Description: eukaryotic LSU rRNA
Rfam family: Eukaryotic large subunit ribosomal RNA (bases 491-941)
Source: RNAcentral
AUUACAGAGUUGCAAAACUCCCUAAACCAUUGUGAACGUUACCUAAACCGUUGCUUCGGCGGGCGGCCCCGGGGUUAUCCCCGGGCGCCCCUGGGCCCCACCGCGGGCGCCCGCCGGAGGUCACCAAACUCUUGAUAAUUUAUGGCCUCUCUGAGUCUUCUGUACUGAAUAAGUCAAAACUUUCAACAACGGAUCUCUUGGUUCUGGCAUCGAUGAAGAACGCAGCGAAAUGCGAUAAGUAAUGUGAAUUGCAGAAUUCAGUGAAUCAUCGAAUCUUUGAACGCACAUUGCGCCCGCCAGUAUUCUGGCGGGCAUGCCUGUUCGAGCGUCAUUUCAACCAUCAAGCCCCCGGCUUGUGUUGGGGACCUGCGGCUGCCGCAGGCCCUGAAAAGCAGUGGCGGGCUCGCUGUCACACCGAGCGUAGUAGCAUACAUCUCGCUCUGGGCGUGCUGCGGGUUCCGGCCGUUAAACCACCUUCAUAACCCAAGGUUGACCUCGGAUCAGGUAGGAAGACCCGCUGAACUUAAGCAUAUCAAUAAGCGGAGGAAAAGAAACCAACAGGGAUUGCCCUAGUAACGGCGAGUGAAGCGGCAACAGCUCAAAUUUGAAAUCUGGCUUCGGCCCGAGUUGUAAUUUGCAGAGGAAGCUUUAGGCGCGGCACCUUCUGAGUCCCCUGGAACGGGGCGCCAUAGAGGGUGAGAGCCCCGUAUAGUUGGAUGCCUAGCCUGUGUAAAGCUCCUUCGACGAGUCGAGUAGUUUGGGAAUGCUGCUCAAAAUGGGAGGUAAAUUUCUUCUAAAGCUAAAUACCGGCCAGAGACCGAUAGCGCACAAGUAGAGUGAUCGAAAGAUGAAAAGCACUUUGAAAAGAGGGUUAAAUAGCACGUGAAAUUGUUGAAAGGGAAGCGCUUGUGACCAGACUUGCGCCGGGCAGAUCAUCCGGU